GGGGGCCGGAUUCUGCAGUAAUUUAUGCGGGUGAAAAUUUUCUGAAAUGAUUCUGAACUCUUGACACAUGCUUUGUGCUCUGACCCAAAAUUUAAUCAUCUUCACUGCUUCAAAUCGUGUGUCUUUUAUUUCUCCGAAUGAGUUGAACUUAUUAAAAACUACUAACCCCAAAGAGGAAGAACAUGUAAUGAAGAAGUUGAUCUCAUUAAUAACAAUGCCAAUUGUACAAUGAUUGUAUUACUGCUUUAUUAACAGAUUCCAAACCAUCAUGCUUCAGGAUGCACUUUUGGCCUGGGGCUUUCUUUCCCUGUCAGGCAGAUGAAAAGCACCAGUGAUAACACCAUCCAGAGUCACGCAGCGAACAAACCUUUUAAAGAGCCCUUAUUUCUAUGUCAUUAUCUCAAAUUGCCUUGUUUAUCCCCUGAAUUCUGAUCAGAUUCUUUUUUGGGCGUUUCUGCUGAAUGAAAUCUGGACGAAAAUGACCAGAAAGAGCUUUCUAUUUAUCCAGAUCUUUUACACAAAUUAAAUACUCACUUUUUACUUUCAAAACAUAUGUGUUUAACAUUGGGCAUCUAUGUCUAAUGAGUCUUAGGCUGGGUAACAAAUUUCUUUAAUAUUUGAUUGUAACUUGUCAAUAAACAAAACAAAACAAAAAUCAAACCAAUCCAAACCUUAAAUUUUCACAAAUAGUGUACACUGCACUAACCUAUCAGAUUAUAGCUUCAAUAUAUCUCCAGCCAAUAGAAUUCACGCAUGAAAGCUGAGCCUAUUUAGAGUCAGGUUUGACUUCUGAGUAUGAUAUCGAUGUAUUCAUAAAGUUUUAAUAACAAUGACAAAU
Molecule: long non-coding RNA, 838 nt
Organism: Pantherophis guttatus
Lineage: Eukaryota; Metazoa; Chordata; Lepidosauria; Squamata; Colubridae
Source: RefSeq, a predicted model, not a curated record